GUUUAGUUUUGAUUUUAGUCUUAGUUUUAGGUUAUUUUAGUUAAAGUUUAGUUUUUCAAUUUUCCGGCAAUUCUGAGCUAAGUUCUUUCAGGACCUAUUAAGUGUUCCUUCCUUAAGAGAGGGACAGCUGCUGACAUUCACUAGAGGGUCCCCAUGUUCCUCAGAGUAGCAUCCGAAACCUUUAUUCUUACUCCCAUUUUGAGAGUGUCACUAUUAAAAGCUUUUACAUCUGUUCUCUGGAAGACUUUUUGGUCAUCAAUUAGGGAUUUGAUGGAAGGGCUUAUGUAUAAGGAAGCAGUCCUUUCAUUAACCUAAGAAAUAUGGAGCUUUUAAAUGCUUUGAAAAUAUUUUAAAAUAUAAGGUAUAAGUAAAUAUCAAGAGUUUUGCUGUGCUUGGGUGUUCUAUGUUUACUAAUAUAUUCAGUCCCUUAAGACCCAAAAUUAGUACAUACGUUUUAGCCUCGCCUCAUCUCCUUUGUUCUCAAGCAACCCAGAGAACAAAGGAGCCUGAGAUCUCGGUAACAGAAGAGAUGGCCAAUGAAGGAUGGGAACUUGGUGCAACCGGAAGCUUCUGUUGAAGAAGGACCAUCCCUUUAGGGUUAUGGAAUUUCCCCUAACUCCUGAGUGAGUUUGCAAGGUGGCAAUGUGGGUGGGUGGGGUAUACCCUCAGGCUAUGAGCAUCUCCUAGAGCAGAGGUUGGCACACUAACUUUUAAAAGUCAGAGAGUAAGUAUUUUUUGGCUUGGCUGGCUGUCGUCGGACGCUCAUUUCGAGUGACCAUUCCAACAGAUUUAAUUGCUUCCAAUGGAGAAGUCAUCAAGGUAUCAGCCGCGGGGAAGGAGGCCUUACCAUCCUGGCUGCACUGGGACCCGCAGAGCCACACCCUGGAGGGUCUCCCCCUUGACACCGAUAAGGGGGUGCAUUACAUUUCAGUCAGCGCUGCACGACUGGGGGCCAACGGGAGCCACGUCCCCCAGACUUCCAGCGUGUUCUCUAUCGAGGUCUACCCUGAAGACCACAGCGAGCCGCAGUCGCUGCGGGCGGCCUCACCGGACCCCGGCGAGGUGGUGUCCUCGGUCUGUGCUGCUGAUGAGCCUGUGACCGUCCUGACAGUCAUUC
This 1117-nucleotide long non-coding RNA is filed under the name Bos grunniens (domestic yak). RNAcentral's name for it is "lncRNA (ENSBGRG00000020845.1)". The record is from RNAcentral. Lineage: Eukaryota; Metazoa; Chordata; Mammalia; Artiodactyla; Bovidae.